UAUGUAGGCAGCAAGCGUUGUUCGGAGUUACUGGGCGUAAAGAGUAUGUAGGCGGUUGCGUAAGUUCGGUGUGAAAUCUCCCGGCUUAACUGGGAGGGUGCGCCGAAAACUGCGUGGCUAGAGUGCGGGAGAGGAGAGCGGAAUUCCUGGUGUAGCGGUGAAAUGCGUAGAUAUCAGGAGGAACACCGGCGGUGUAGACGGCUCUCUGGACCGUUACUGACGCUGAGAUACGAAAGCGUGGGUAGCAAACAGG
RNAcentral lists this ribosomal RNA (253 nucleotides) under uncultured bacterium. Its description in RNAcentral is "partial 16S ribosomal RNA". It matches the Rfam family "Bacterial small subunit ribosomal RNA", at positions 524 to 776 of the family's 1533-position model. The record is from RNAcentral.